UAAUACGUAGGGGGCAAGCGUUAUCCGGAUUUAUUGGGCGUAAAGCGCGCGUAGGCGGCUGAUCACGUCGGAUGUUAAAGCUCAGGGCUUAACCCUGAGAGGCCAUUCGAUACGGAUCGGCUAGAGGUAGGUAGGGGAAGGUGGAAUUCCUGGUGUAGCGGUGAAAUGCGCAGAUAUCAGGAGGAACACCGGUGGCGAAGGCGGCCUUCUGGGCCUUACCUGACGCUGAGGCGCGAAAGCUGGGGGAGCAAACAGGAUUAGAUACCCUGGUAGUCCCAGCCGUAAACGUUGAGUGCUAGGUGUGGGGAGGUCUUCAACCCUCUCCGUGCCGAAGCUAACGCAUUAAGCACUCCGCCUGGGGAGUACGGUCGCAAGACUA
Molecule: ribosomal RNA, 379 nt
Filed under: uncultured bacterium
Lineage: Bacteria
Description: bacterial SSU rRNA
Rfam family: Bacterial small subunit ribosomal RNA
Source: RNAcentral